This 476-nucleotide ribosomal RNA is filed under the name uncultured bacterium. RNAcentral's name for it is "partial 16S ribosomal RNA". It matches the Rfam family "Bacterial small subunit ribosomal RNA", at positions 28 to 523 of the family's 1533-position model. The record is from RNAcentral.
GACGAACGCUGGCGGCGUGCUUAACACAUGCAAGUCGAACGGUAAGGCCCUUCGGGGUACACGAGUGGCGAACGGGUGAGUAACACGUGGGCAACCUGCCUCAUAGAGGGGAAUAGCCUCCCGAAAGGGAGAUUAAUACCGCAUAAAAUUAUCGAGUGGCAUCACAUGAUAAUCAAAGGAGUAAUCCGCUAUGAGAUGGGCCCGCGGCGCAUUAGCUAGUUGGUGAGGUAACGGCUCACCAAGGCGACGAUGCGUAGCCGACCUGAGAGGGUGAUCGGCCACAUUGGGACUGAGACACGGCCCAGACUCCUACGGGAGGCAGCAGUGGGGAAUAUUGCACAAUGGGGGAAACCCUGAUGCAGCAACGCCGCGUGGGUGAUGAAGGUCUUCGGACUGUAAAGCUCUGUCUUUGGGGACGAUAAUGACGGUACCCAAGGAGGAAGCCACGGCUAACUACGUGCCAGCAGCCGCCGCCG